Ictalurus punctatus (channel catfish) is the source of this 340-nucleotide long non-coding RNA. NCBI's taxonomy places the organism in Eukaryota, Metazoa, Chordata, Actinopteri, Siluriformes, Ictaluridae. The record is from Ensembl.
CACUCAACACUGUAGCUACAUUAACGCUACAUCCGUGAUUACAACCUCCUCGGGUCAUUUCAUGGAUGGAAAACUUCAAAACAUGGAAGGUAGACGAGAUACCACCAUCCGCUGCUUGAUGGAGUUCCUUGGAGAGUCUCCAGAGCACCUCAUCAACGACUACCAGUGCUUAUGUCACUUCACUGCAGAAGCCAAGCUGUUCAUUUUAAACAUGGUGGACUUCCUGUAUGUCACACUACAACAUCACGACCUUCACUGCAACCCGUCGUGUUAUUUACAGACAGAUCUGCACUGUACCAGUGAAGCAUGGUGAAGAAGGAGCUCACAUGUACACAUUUUU